This 1260-nucleotide long non-coding RNA is filed under the name Dromaius novaehollandiae (emu). Its description in RNAcentral is "lncRNA (ENSDNVG00000014026.1)". The record is from RNAcentral. Lineage: Eukaryota; Metazoa; Chordata; Aves; Casuariiformes; Dromaiidae.
UAAUGCAGCAGACCCUAUUUCCUCCAGUUGUGUGGGACACCAGAAAGGAAGCGUUUUCCCAUUGUUUUUUCUAUCUCCGAGAGACUGUAUUAAUCUACAUCUUAUGACUAAUCAGGAAGGUUAAAAAAAAAUCAGGUAUUUUCUUUCAUAAUUUUCUUCACAGCAGAGGAUAAUGUUGAUACAGAAUUGCGAUGUUGUUAAUGUCAAAAAACCCUUGUUUUUGACCUCCAUUCGGUGAUGACCUCAGAAAGAAGGAAGCUGAACUUGUGGUUGCACUUGUCCGCUCCUUGUCGUCUCCAUCCCCAUAUAUAGAAACGUAUAUUGCUUUAAACAAGCCAUCUAAAGUGGGUGACUGCAUGGCAAUAAAGAGUGGAAAAAAUAGUCUAAGAACUAGGAGAACUUAAGUGGUACAACUGUGCGUUUUUUUCAAGUUUCAAAAAUACUGUGCUGUCUAAAAGAAUAAAAUAUGUUCCAGAGAAAUCUAUAAAAAUGGCAGAUUGACACACAAAUCCUGAAAGGUGACUUGAGAGCUCUUUAUUUUCUAGGAUGGGAGUCAUUCAGUAGUUGCAGAAGUGGCGUAUAAUUAACAAAAUUGCAGGAAGUAUUUAGCUGGGGAGACUUGCAAUCUGCAAAUGCUUUUACASGUUCAGGAAUUACAGCUCUGAUAGGAAUUUUCUUAAGCAUUUAAGAGAAGCUACAURUGUAGCAGUCACUGAUGCAGUGGAACAACAGUGGUAUUACUUGGCAGUCUGUAGCUGUUUGUUUUGUAUGCGUGCAAAAGAUCAAUAUUAGAAUAAAUUUCCUCCUGUGGGGAAUUUUUCCUAAAUUCUGAAUUAUGUCUGUUUAACUCCAAUGAAUAGAAAGUACUUAAUGUCAGGUGAAGUUUUUUUUAAAGGAUGUGUUAUUCUAAGCUAAGCCUAAAUCAUCCAUUCUGUUUAGGAAUGCAUCACACUUUUGUCAAAUAAACAUAUGGAGUUUGGCUGUGCAUGCUAUUUGUUGCAUAUUCCCCUCUGAUUUCUAAUAAGACUUGUGGCGGGUUGUUUUUCCCUUGGAAACAACCUGUAGGAGUCAUGAGUCUAGUAUACACACUCUGCAGGCCUUCUCAAUAUUCGUUUGGACGAUAAGUGCAUUUGGGAAUGGUCUGCAUAAGAAAUGCAAUCUAAAUUUGUUAUAUCUGACUUCAGUGGGGCAGUGAUUGCAAUUUAAGGGAUCKGGCCACUUCAGGACAAAUCUCCAAUAUAGACAAAGCCUCAAUUUCAU